GUGCAGCAGUCGAGAAUUUUCUCAAUGGGGGCAACCCUGAAGGAGCGACGCCGCGUGGAGGAUGAAGGUCUUCGGGUUGUAAACUCCUGUCAUUUGAGAACAAGGUGCACAUGUUAACUGCAUGUGCAUUGAUAGUAUCAGAAGAGGAAGGGACGGCUAACUCUGUGCCAGCAGCCGCGGUAAUACAGAGGUCCCAAGCGUUGUUCGGAUUCAUUGGGCGUAAAGGGUGUGUAGGUGGCGCCGUAAGUCGGGUGUGAAACCUCGGGGCUUAACUCCGAAACUGCAUUCGAUACUGCGGUGCUUGAGGACUGGAGAGGAGACUGGAAUUCAUGGUGUAGCAGUGAAAUGCGUAGAGAUCAUGAGGAAGACCAGUGGCGAAGGCGGGUCUCUGGACAGUUCUUGACACUGAGACACGAAGGCCAGGGGAGCAAACGGGAUUAGAUACCCCCGUAGU
This 454-nucleotide ribosomal RNA is filed under the name uncultured organism. RNAcentral's name for it is "bacterial SSU rRNA". It matches the Rfam family "Bacterial small subunit ribosomal RNA", at positions 346 to 794 of the family's 1533-position model. The record is from RNAcentral.